RNAcentral lists this long non-coding RNA (4461 nucleotides) under Sus scrofa (pig). RNAcentral's name for it is "lncRNA (ENSSSCG00015063294.1)". Lineage: Eukaryota; Metazoa; Chordata; Mammalia; Artiodactyla; Suidae. The record is from RNAcentral.
GGAACUCCUCUUUCCCUCUUUUUAACAAUCCUAUGUAUAUGGAGAGUUAGCGUGCCGUGUCUUGAAAAAAGUAUUUGUGUAUUGUUGGAAUAAAUGUAUAUAUUUCCCCCGCCUUGUUCCCUGUUUCUCUUCUUGCUAUUUGGGAUCCUUAAAAGAAGUGCAGAGGACUUUGGUCUGUGGUGUCAGGAGAGAUCUCAGGCCUGGAUGUCUUGAUUGUCCUUCUAGUCUUGGUUAUCAUCACAAAGAUGGAUUCAAGUUCAAGGCACAGAUCCUUUUAUUUAUUUAUUUUUUUAAUGGCACCAUCCUUGGCAUAUGGAAAUUCGCAGGCCAGGAAUUGAAUCUGAGCUGCAGCUGCCGCCUACACCACAGCUGAGGCAACACUGGAGCCUUGAACUCGCUGCGCCAGGCUGGGGAUUGAACCUGUACCUCCAGAGUGACCCGAGCCUCUGCAGUUGGAUUCUUAACCCACUGCACCACAGCGGGAACUCCCACAGAUCCACAGAUACCUGAUGACACUGCCAAGCACACGUCUGUGUUUUUUUUUUUUGCUUUUUAGGGUCACACCCUCAGCAUAUGGAGGUUCCCAGGCUAGAGGUUGAAUCAGGGUUGCAGCUGCCGGCCUACGCCACAGCCACAGCCACGCAGGAUCUGAGCUGCGUCUGCAACCUACACCACUGCUCAUGGCAACGCCAGAUCCUUAACCCACUGAGCGAGGCCAGGGAUCGAACCUGUGUCCUCAUGGAUGCUAGUCAGGUUUGUUAACCACUAAGCCACGAUGGGAACUCCUCUUCUAGGUUCUUGAAACAGAGUUGGGAACAAAAUAGAUACAAAUCCUUGCCCUUGGCGCUUACAUUCUGGGGAGCAGGGAGAGAAACGAUAAACAAGAAAAUAGUUAAAUAAGAAAAUAUGCUGUGUGUGUAUUAAGGAAGAAAACCUAAAGCAGCGGAGGAGUUCCCUUGUGGCCUAGUGGUUAAGGAUCUGGCAUUGUGACUGCUGUGGCUCAGGUCAUUGCUGUGGCGUGGGCUUGGUCCCUGGCCCGGCAACUUCCACGUGCCACAGAUGGGGCCAACAUAAUAAUAAUUUUUUAAAAAGCAGGAAAAUGGGAAAGGGAAUGUGUCUGAGGAGACAGGUGGUGGUGGAGGGUUGGGGGAGUGGUGAGGACGCCCUCACAUAGAUGGGACCUUGAACAAAGAGCUCAAAUAUAAGGUCCAUAUAAUACCUGGGAGCAGAUGGCACAAGCUGGCACCCUGUCCUUAUGAAAACAAAAACCCAUGCUAAUGUCAAAGGCCAUUAGAAUAUUGUUUGUGGUCAUUGAAGUUGACUGAGUCAGUAGGUUCCAUGUAUGUGCCAGCAGCGUCUAUGCAACUGUGGAAAUUCGUGACAAGCUAUAUUCGUGUUGGGGAGGGGGCUGUCCCAUGCGUGUUCCUUCAGGAGCCCACUGACCUCAGAUCCAGCCAACCUGACUAAUUUCUGCCAAUGGAAAGUUCGAUGUGGAAGGGAUUACAGCUGUUCUUUAAUGGGCUGAGUUCAUCGGGGGCCAGGAAAAAAAAAAAAAAACAAAGCUCUCAGGCUUUGGGAGGAGUGAGGAGUCUGAUGCACAAGCCUGAGCCUGAGGUGUGUGGAUGUGUCGAGGCCAAGGUGGCUCACCUUGGUCAUAGCCAGCCCUCCGGUAGGAUUCUUGGCUUGGCUGGUUGGCGUCCUUAUGACCCAAUGCUGGGAGGGUCCUUUUCUCAGAAGCCAGGCAGCUGGGAGCGGACGGCUGAGCUUUGGUGUUUCGGGUGAUCUGGUGAGGCUUGGUCAACCUGCUUGCGUGAACCUACCUACCCUGCGCCGACGUGGCGGCAGGUGUAACUCUUGGUCCCUACGCCAAGAGCAGUGUGUCAGCCUGUGAGUCACCUGCUGGGCUUUACUGGAAAGUUGGGGAGCGUGUGCACUGGUUGAGCUCGAGCACGAUUCUGUUCAUGAUGUAUUUCUUUUGACGGUGAACCAACAAUGCAAGUAGGUUUAGUAUAAAAAUAUCCACCCCAGAGUUAAUUAUCGCAGCCCAGACCUUGGCCUUGCCCCUUAGGGGAGACCUUGCUUCUACGAAAGGGCCUGGCGAAUGCAUUUGUGAAUUUCCUCCAUGUGCAUUAUGCAUAUGCUCUGACUGUUACCCAAUUUAAUUUGCUCCUCGGAGAUACCUUGUUUGGUCAUCUUCCUCAGAUGGAGUGAUGAUUACCUUCUAGAAGCCUCAUGACAAACCCUGAAGUAUGUUGCUUGCCAGCUCCACUUGGCCUAGGGAGGGAGAUGAGGUACCUGUGAGUAAGGGCAGGCUUCAGGAAUCAGACUCAGCUCUGUGACUUUGUGAGCUGGGAACCUGGGAAGCCUAAAGCUGAUGUGUGUGCCGAUGCCCAGGUCAAUGAUGGGGAUAGGACUACAGGCCACGUUGGAAUUACAGGCCUGCCUCCUCCUUGUGGAGCAGCUUUGGGCAGUUCACUUAUCUUCUCUGUGCCUCAGUCUCUUUAUCUGGAAAAUGGGUCUAGUCCUAGUACUUGGUUGAGCUGUCAUGCGAACCAGGUACAAAAACAAGAGGAGCAGCCCCCCAGCCCCGUGGUUUUCAGAGUAAGCGCUCAGGAAAUGUCAGUGACUCAGCCUCCCGUAAACCCACAAGCACAACCUGUCUCACAGACGAGGGACUGAGGCUUUACAAAAAUUAGGUGAGAGGUUUGUGACUAGAAAAGGAAUUUCUGGCCAGUCCAGGUCUGUUGCAUGGGAUAUGUAUGUAAAAUGCCUGUUAAAAUGUGUGCCGUUUGGUAUUUUCAGCUGGUAAUUUGAGUUUGAUUGAUUUUCCCCUUCUCAUGGUUCUGGACUCAGAAUGCACCCUUUCAGUCUUCCUGAUCUGCUUUGAAAUUCGGGAUUGGGACAGGCUGGUGGACCACCCGUGGCCAGAGGUGGCCUGCAGAGGUGGGACACCUGGCAUGGUAUGGAAGCUCUUGAUAUGCCAGGCCAUGCCCCCUUUUAUCUUCAUAAUUACAGGAGAUUUAAUUUUUUUUUCUUUUCAUUUUAGGGCUACACUCGAGGCAUAGGGUAGUUCCCAGGCUAGGGGUUGGAGCUACAGUUGCGGGCCUGCACCACAGCCAUGUGAGUUCCAAGCCGCCUUUGCUGCUCACAGCAAUGCUGGAUCCUUAACCCACUGAGUGAGGCCAGGGAUUGAACCCGCAUCCUAACGGACACUAUAUUGAUUUUUGUUUUUUGUUUUUUGGGGUCUUUUUUUUGCUUUUUAGGGCCGCAAGUGCGGCAUAUGGAGGUUCCCAGGCUAGGGGUUGAAUUGGAGCUGCAGCUGCCAGCCUACACCACAGCCACAGCCACACUGGAUCUGAGCCUCGACUGUACCCUACACCAAGCUCAUGGCAACAGUGGAUCCUUAACUCGCUGAUUGAGGCCAGGAAUUGAACCCACACCCUCUUGGAUACUACUUGGUUUCAUUACUGCUGAGCCACAACGGGAACUCCUGCAUAUUAGUUUUAGAUGAGAUAGAUUUUUAUCUUUUUUAUUUAUAGAGGCCUUUUGUCCUGUGUUGGGGUACAGAGUUAUAUAUGCACAUACUGCCUUUAGUGUUGAUUUGGUGGAACUUUUUUACAGCGGUAACAGUCGAGUUGGUGGAACGUACAGCAGAUUUGUUUCAGUAGCUUCUAGGCCGAGUCUGCUGUCAUUUUAUUCUGUGAGUCUGAGUGGCUCAUUUAACGCUUCUGACCUCAGAUGAAUGAGUGAUUUAUGACACCCUCCCUGCCCCCACCCCCAGUGCUUUCUACUCUUAUGUAUACAAGUCUAUGACUUUUCAUGGGUCUAUUGCCCUGGUUUAGGGCAUUUAAUAUUUUGACAGACAGGCUCGUUGUAUUUCCUAAUUGAAAGUAGCCUUUGCGGAGGAAAUAAAAUGGGCUUUUAUUUUAUUUCUUUAUUUAUAAGAAAAAUUUUUUUUAUUUAUAAAAAAAUUUAUUUAUUUAUUAAUUUUUUUUGCUUUUUUAGGGCCACAACUGCAGCAUAAGAAAGUUCCCAGGCUAGGGGUCGAAUCAGAACCGCAUCUACACCACAGCCACAGCAAUGCCUGAUCAGAGCUGCCUGAAACCUGCACCACAGCUUAUGGCAACGCUGCAUCCUUAACCCACUGAACAAGACUAGGGAUCGAACCCGCAACCUCGUGGAUACUAGUCAGGCUCAUGAUCCGCUGAGCCACAGUGGGAACUGUGCUUUUAGAGACUAAACCAUCUAAUGUCUAGGUGUUUGGAAGGGAGAGCAAGAUGAGUGGAGUCUCCCGACUCUAGAAGUCCCCUAAUUUAAUUGAUUAUGUCCCUGUCAUGAGCAGAGAACUUUGUAAGGUGUCAGGUAUUAAAAAAUGCAGCAGCGGCUGUGUUCUUCUUACCCAGUUUCACCUGGAUAUGUUCUGGUCUGGAAAAUGUGAAAUGACAAUUGCUGAUGUAUUUU